GCUGCCUAGCACACCUGAGAAUCUGUAUGAAAAACAGAAACAGCCACUAAAUUUCAAUUUAUACCUCCAAAGAACCAUCAAAUUUCCCAGCCCAGCUAAAAUGUGUAGUGAUUUUUACCAAUAAAAUAAAGUAGAAAAUCUAUCAUGUCUGCAUCAAGCAUUCACUUGUGUGACCAAAAAGAUUCUUCUUUUGAAAACUAAAUGGCAAACACCUCAAGGAAAAAAAAGAGUUCGAUAAAUGUUUUUCCAAAAACCAUUUUAAAAGAUUUGGAUUCCAAAAUAAUCAAAUUCUAACGUAUCAUAUUUCUCGGUGCUAUUAAACAUAAACCUUGUGAGGUAAUAACUCAUUCUGAUGCAAUGGAAACAUCACUUAGAAACAUUAGUUCAAACUAUAAUCAAGUUUAAACAUGCCAAAGGCUGGCGUGCAGUGGAAUUGGAGCAAGCCACACUCAAGGCAGGGUAGUAGCACUACAUUAAAGAGCACAAAGACAACUCUUGAUAGCCAAUGAUGAAUACACAAUGACCUUAGUGGAAUAUCAUAGAGUUAUCAAAAAAUAAAAGAAAAGAAAAGGAGAAGACAGAAGAGAAGCAAUGCAGAAGCCACUAACUUUGGCUGGAAGUAAAAUUCUAGUAGUUAAGGAUACCUCCACAUGUCCAGCAUGGAAGAG
Molecule: unclassified non-coding RNA, 668 nt
Filed under: Hevea brasiliensis (rubber tree)
Lineage: Eukaryota; Viridiplantae; Streptophyta; Magnoliopsida; Malpighiales; Euphorbiaceae
Source: RNAcentral